CCACACCUAAAAACUUUCCACGUGAACCGUUAUAACUAUGUUCUGUGCCUCAUCUCGUCGAAAGACUUGAGGCUGAACGAAGGUGAGUCUGUGUCUUUUUGAUGCGGAUUUGCUGAUGUUAUUUUAAACACCUAUUACUUUAUACUGAACUAUACUCCGAAUACGAAAGUUUUUGGUUUUAACAAUUAACAACUUUCAGCAGUGGAUGUCUAGGCUCGCACAUCGAUGAAGAACGCUGCGAACUGCGAUACGUAAUGCGAAUUGCAGAAUUCAGUGAGUCAUCGAAAUUUUGAACGCAUAUUGCACUUUCGGGUUAUGCCUGGAAGUAUGCCUGUAUCAGUGUCCGUACAUCAAACUUGCCUUUCUUUUUUUGUGUAGUCAAAAUUGGAGAUGGCAGAAUGUGAGGUGUCUCGCGCUGUCUUUUCUUUUGAAGAUGGUUCGAGUCCCUUUAAAUGUACGUUGAUUCUUUCUUGUGUCUGCGAAUUGCGACGCUAUGCUCUUUGUGAUCGGUUUAGAUUGCUUUGCGCUGGUGGGCGACUUCGGUUAGGACAUAUGGAAGCAACCUCAAUUGGCGGUAUGUUCGGCUUUGCCUGACGUUAAGCUAAGCGAGUGUGGUUUUCUGUUCUUUCCUUGAGGUGUACCUGUCGUGUGUGAGGUCGGUUUGAGCUAUAUGGUUGCUUUGUUGUGUGGUCGAGCGUUUUUAGACGCCUGCUUCGGUAGGUAAAGGAGACAACACCGAUUUGGGACGGAGAGUUUACUCUCUUUUUCACUUUGGACCUGAUAUCAGGUAAGWCUAMCCGCUGAACUUAAG
RNAcentral lists this ribosomal RNA (811 nucleotides) under Pythium sp. CAL-2011f. RNAcentral's name for it is "eukaryotic LSU rRNA". The stretch from base 191 to 345 matches the Rfam family "5.8S ribosomal RNA". Lineage: Eukaryota; Oomycota; Peronosporomycetes; Pythiales; Pythiaceae. The record is from RNAcentral.